UAAUGGGUCAGCGACUUAUAUUCUGUAGCAAGGUUAACCGUAUAGGGGAGCCGAAGGGAAACCGAGUCUUAACUGGGCGUUAAGUUGCAGGGUAUAGACCCGAAACCCGGUGAUCUAGCCAUGGGCAGGUUGAAGGUUGGGUAACACUAACUGGAGGACCGAACCGACUAAUGUUGAAAAAUUAGCGGAUGACUUGUGGCUGGGGGUGAAAGGCCAAUCAAACCGGGAGAUAGCUGGUUCUCCCCGAAAGCU
This 252-nucleotide ribosomal RNA is filed under the name Citrobacter freundii. RNAcentral's name for it is "partial 23S ribosomal RNA". It matches the Rfam family "Bacterial large subunit ribosomal RNA", at positions 613 to 867 of the family's 2925-position model. Lineage: Bacteria; Pseudomonadati; Pseudomonadota; Gammaproteobacteria; Enterobacterales; Enterobacteriaceae. The record is from RNAcentral.